This 390-nucleotide unclassified non-coding RNA is filed under the name soil metagenome. Its description in RNAcentral is "partial contains 5.8S ribosomal RNA, internal transcribed spacer 2, and large subunit ribosomal RNA". The stretch from base 1 to 122 matches the Rfam family "5.8S ribosomal RNA", at positions 35 to 154 of the family's 154-position model. The record is from RNAcentral.
GUUGAAGAACGUAGCGAAAUGCGAUACUUGGUGUGAAUUGCAGAAUCCCGCGAAUCAUCGAGUUUUUGAACGCAAGUUGUGCCCGAAGCCAUUCGGCCGAGGGCACGUCUGCCUGGGUGUCACGCAUCGUUGACCCCCCAAACUCCGGUUCGGGCGGGGCGGAAGUUGGCCUCCCGUGCGUGCCUGCGCGCGCGGUUAGCCCAAAAGCGAGUCCUCGGCGACGAGCGCCACGACAAUCGGUGGUUUUUUUACCCUCGUUCCUCGUCAUGCGUGUCCCGUCGCCCGAACGCGCUCUUGUGACCCUCACGCGUCGCCUCGGCGGCGCUCCCAACGCGACCCCAGGUCAGGCGGGACUACCCGCUGAGUUUAAGCAUAUCAAUAAGCGGAGGA